Molecule: microRNA precursor, 63 nt
Filed under: Chelydra serpentina (North American snapping turtle)
Lineage: Eukaryota; Metazoa; Chordata; Testudines; Chelydridae
Description: mir-451b
Source: RNAcentral
GGGGCGGCAGUAGAACCGUUACCAUUACUAAAGUCAGUAAUGGUAACGGUUUCAUUGACACUC